Molecule: ribosomal RNA, 1657 nt
Filed under: Salmonella enterica subsp. enterica serovar Derby
Lineage: Bacteria; Pseudomonadati; Pseudomonadota; Gammaproteobacteria; Enterobacterales; Enterobacteriaceae
Description: bacterial SSU rRNA
Rfam family: Bacterial small subunit ribosomal RNA
Source: RNAcentral
AGAGUUUGAUCAUGGCUCAGAUUGAACGCUGGCGGCAGGCCUAACACAUGCAAGUCGAACGGUAACAGGAAGCAGCUUGCUGCUUUGCUGACGAGUGGCGGACGGGUGAGUAAUGUCUGGGAAACUGCCUGAUGGAGGGGGAUAACUACUGGAAACGGUGGCUAAUACCGCAUAACGUCGCAAGACCAAAGAGGGGGACCUUCGGGCCUCUUGCCAUCAGAUGUGCCCAGAUGGGAUUAGCUUGUUGGUGAGGUAACGGCUCACCAAGGCGACGAUCCCUAGCUGGUCUGAGAGGAUGACCAGCCACACUGGAACUGAGACACGGUCCAGACUCCUACGGGAGGCAGCAGUGGGGAAUAUUGCACAAUGGGCGCAAGCCUGAUGCAGCCAUGCCGCGUGUAUGAAGAAGGCCUUCGGGUUGUAAAGUACUUUCAGCGGGGAGGAAGGUGUUGUGGUUAAUAACCGCAGCAAUUGACGUUACCCGCAGAAGAAGCACCGGCUAACUCCGUGCCAGCAGCCGCGGUAAUACGGAGGGUGCAAGCGUUAAUCGGAAUUACUGGGCGUAAAGCGCACGCAGGCGGUCUGUCAAGUCGGAUGUGAAAUCCCCGGGCUCAACCUGGGAACUGCAUUCGAAACUGGCAGGCUUGAGUCUUGUAGAGGGGGGUAGAAUUCCAGGUGUAGCGGUGAAAUGCGUAGAGAUCUGGAGGAAUACCGGUGGCGAAGGCGGCCCCCUGGACAAAGACUGACGCUCAGGUGCGAAAGCGUGGGGAGCAAACAGGAUUAGAUACCCUGGUAGUCCACGCCGUAAACGAUGUCUACUUGGAGGUUGUGCCCUUGAGGCGUGGCUUCCGGAGCUAACGCGUUAAGUAGACCGCCUGGGGAGUACGGCCGCAAGGUUAAAACUCAAAUGAAUUGACGGGGGCCCGCACAAGCGGUGGAGCAUGUGGUUUAAUUCGAUGCAACGCGAAGAACCUUACCUGGUCUUGACAUCCACNGCCCGCACAAGCGGUGGAGCAUGUGGUUUAAUUCGAUGCAACGCGAAGAACCUUACCUGGUCUUGACAUCCACAGAAGAAUCCAGAGAUGGAUUUGUGCCUUCGGGAACUGUGAGACAGGUGCUGCAUGGCUGUCGUCAGCUCGUGUUGUGAAAUGUUGGGUUAAGUCCCGGUGAGACAGGUGCUGCAUGGCUGUCGUCAGCUCGUGUUGUGAAAUGUUGGGUUAAGUCCCGCAACGAGCGCAACCCUUAUCCUUUGUUGCCAGCGAUUAGGUCGGGAACUCAAAGGAGACUGCCAGUGAUAAACUGGAGGAAGGUGGGGAUGACGUCAAGUCAUCAUGGCCCUUACGACCAGGGCUACACACGUGCUACAAUGGCGCAUACAAAGAGAAGCGACCUCGCGAGAGCAAGCGGACCUCAUAAAGUGCGUCGUAGUCCGGAUUGGAGUCUGCAACUCGACUCCAUGAAGUCGGAAUCGCUAGUAAUCGUGGAUCAGAAUGCCACGGUGAAUACGUUCCCGGGCCUUGUACACACCGCCCGUCACACCAUGGGAGUGGGUUGCAAAAGAAGUAGGUAGCUUAACCUUCGGGAGGGCGCUUACCACUUUGUGAUUCAUGACUGGGGUGAAGUCGUAACAAGGUAACCGUAGGGGAACCUGCGGUUG